UCCUGGUUAGCUAUGUUGGUAAAGGGAUCCACUGGAAAUGGGGAGGUUGCUGGAUCGAUACCAGCAGCAGGCG
Molecule: transfer RNA, 73 nt
Filed under: Ixodes scapularis (black-legged tick)
Lineage: Eukaryota; Metazoa; Arthropoda; Arachnida; Ixodida; Ixodidae
Rfam family: tRNA
About the family: Transfer RNA (tRNA) molecules are approximately 80 nucleotides in length.
Source: Rfam by way of RNAcentral